This 497-nucleotide ribosomal RNA is filed under the name uncultured bacterium. Its description in RNAcentral is "partial 16S ribosomal RNA". It matches the Rfam family "Bacterial small subunit ribosomal RNA", at positions 28 to 507 of the family's 1533-position model. The record is from RNAcentral.
GAUGAACGCUGGCGGCGUGCCUAAUACAUGCAAGUCGAGCGAACAGACGAGGAGCUUGCUCCUCUGACGUUAGCGGCGGACGGGUGAGUAACACGUGGAUAACCUACCUAUAAGACUGGGAUAACUUCGGGAAAUCGGAGCUAAUACCGGAUAACAUGUUGAACCGCAUGGUUCAACAGUGAAAGACGGUCUUGCUGUCACUUAUAGAUGGAUCCGCGCCGCAUUAGCUAGUUGGUAAGGUAACGGCUUACCAAGGCAACGAUGCGUAGCCGACCUGAGAGGGUGAUCGGCCACACUGGAACUGAGACACGGUCCAGACUCCUACGGGAGGCAGCAGUAGGGAAUCUUCCGCAAUGGGCGAAAGCCUGACGGAGCAACGCCGCGUGAGUGAUGAAGGUCUUCGGAUCGUAAAACUCUGUUAUUAGGGAAGAACAAAUGUGUAAGUAACUAUGCACGUCUUGACGGUACCUAAUCAGAAAGCCACGGCUAACUACGUG